Molecule: ribosomal RNA, 253 nt
Filed under: uncultured bacterium
Lineage: Bacteria
Description: partial 16S ribosomal RNA
Rfam family: Bacterial small subunit ribosomal RNA
Source: RNAcentral
GACAGAGGUGCCAAGCGUUAGGCGGAAUCACUGGGCUUAAAGCGUGUGUAGGCGGAUGUCUAAGUACCUUGUGAAAUCCCACGGCUCAACCGUGGAACUGCUUGGUAUACUGGAUGUCUUGAGCCACCUAGGGGCUACCGGAACAAAUGGUGGAGCGGUGAAAUGCGUAGAUAUCAUUUGGAACGCCAAUGGUGAAAACAGGUAGCUGGGGAUGUGCUGACGCUGAGACACGAAAGCCAGGGGAGCAAACGGG